CUUUUUUUUUAUCUUAUCAGUAAAUCAAAUUGCAAAUAGGAAAAGAGAGAGAAAAGAAAAUUUCACUCACACCACGCGCCGCCUUCCUCCUUCACCUGCGAGCUUCCCCAAACCCUCUCCAUCGCUUGUUUCUCUUCACUUUCUCGCUCUCUCUUUUUCUUCAUCAAUGAAAGAUUGAUUUCGCUACUGGCCUGGGUUAACUCAUGUAACCAUGGCCAUCGCUGAUCACCAUCACCACCACCGUAAGCAUUGACGAUAGCCGCCAUCCAUCAUCCUACUCCUUGGACUUCGUUUCCAUCCGAUCCGCCUCAGAUCUGCAUCUCUAUCAUCGUUUGUUCAUCUCAGAUCUACGUCGCCAGGGUAUUCCAGCCACCGUUGCUGCUCUUGUCACAACACCACACCUCCGCCGCUUGCACCGCCAUCAUUCUUGCACGUAAACACACAAGAUCGUCGCCGUCGCCACCAUCAAUUGUUUCAGAUGAGGUUUGCACUGCAUGUGAUUUCAACCGUCCUGGAAAGACAUGUCUAUGCAAACUUGAGUGGGUUUGGCAUGGAGAAACAUUCAUGGCAAAGAUAAGUGACUAUUAUCACAGGCAUACAAGCGUGUUCUUAACAAACUAGUUACAGAACUCCAUGAAGCAGGAAUCUGCAUGCGUGAAAAUCCAUUUUAUGUUGACAUUGUUCGCAGGGGUUUUAGAUGAUACUCCAUGGAAAUGGCUGGAGUAGUCACAUAUACAGGAGAAAAAAUAAUUCAGAAUGCAUGCCUGCUUGCUGGUAGAAAAAAUAGGGAAACCACUUGAACUUGAUACUGAUGGUAUCUGGUGUGCACUUCCUGGGUCUUUUCCAGAAAAUUUUACUUCUAAAACAAAAUUCUUGGAUGGCAACAAGUUGCUGGAAAAAUUGGAAUGCAACGUUGUGCUGCAUCAGGCCAAUGGCUAAAUGAGAGAAUUACUCUCUCAAGAUAUGCCCGUGUAAGCACUAUAAAUCCUUGGCAUAUUUGGAAAAGCUACAAAAGAAAUAGAUGAUUCAUUUUUACUGCUCAUUGUCAGUUUAGGAAUACUUGACAAUCUAAAUUUGUUAAUUAAGUCACGAGUAAAAACUCAAUAAAACUUGAUGCACAUCGUUAACCUAUUGAUUGGUUAAUUGUUCUUCAAGUGGAAAUAAUUUAUUGAGAAGUUCUGUUUUGCAACUUUCACAAUUGCAUUUUGUUUUUAUAUGCACAUGAAUUUCUUUUGCAGGUACCACUUAGAAAUUUUGAACUUGACUGGCUUAUAUUUACAGUAGAUACCUUCUUCUUAAGAGCUUUGUGUGAUAGUGAACAAGUUCCGAUUUUAAGUUUAUGUAUAUGAAUGUUAUCUGCAAACUGAAACUUCAUGACUUACUGGUUCAUCCUUGAUUGUAUUGUUUGAUGAAGAGACAUGUUUUCUUGAUGAGGGAUCAUUAUGAUUACUAUUCAAGAAGAAACUUGUUUCCAAGUACCUCAGGCACCUAUUUUUCAUUCCAGAAUGAGACUUUGAAUGUUAACUAUACUACUACAUUUUUUUCUUUUAAUUUUUGCGGAGUGAGGGAAGGUGGGAGGAGGAUGAAGUAACUGCUAUUUAUGAUAUAAUAACCAAUAGUAUUCAUUUUAAUUUGUUAAAUCUGCUAUAUUGUCGGGGGAGCAUCUGCAAGUUUUAAAUUUUAAGUCAACUUGUUCAACUGAUCGAUCCUUAUUUCAUUUGCCAGGGUUCAAGGGACCAUUUCCUUCUUUGCUCGAAACUGAUGGGUCAUGCAAAAGGUGUUUGUACUGUUGUUGGCAGAGUUCCGCAAGUUGGGUGCAACAAUUGUAUUUAAAAUAAUGUAUUCUUAAUUUUCUGUGAUUAAUGAUACUACUUAUUGGAAAUGCUUGUAACAACCCUUCAUGUCAUGGCAAUGCUUCUUAGGAUCUCUCACUGGGAUUAGUUUAUAGCCUAACUUCAUGUAACAUAGUUAUAGGUUUAGGUUUGUAGCAUUUUUUGUUGUUUAGAUUUGUAACAUGUUUUAUUACUUUUUAAGAGAAAUUUGUGUAUCAAUAUUUUGAGUUUAAUGAAAUAUCUCAUUUUGUAGU
Non-coding RNA from Arachis ipaensis, 2086 nucleotides. NCBI's taxonomy places the organism in Eukaryota, Viridiplantae, Streptophyta, Magnoliopsida, Fabales, Fabaceae. The record is from RefSeq and is a predicted model, not a curated record.